ACGGGUGCGUAACGCGUGGGAAUCUGCCCUUGGGUUCGGAAUAACAGUUGGAAAUGACUGCUAAUACCGGAUGAUGUCUUCGGACCAAAGAUUUAUCGCCCAAGGAUGAGCCCGCGUAAGAUUAGCUAGUUGGUGGGGUAAUGGCCCACCAAGGCGACGAUCUUUAGCUGGUCUGAGAGGAUGAUCAGCCACACUGGGACUGAGACACGGCCCAGACUCCUACGGGAGGCAGCAGUGGGGAAUAUUGGACAAUGGGCGAAAGCCUGAUCCAGCAAUGCCGCGUGAGUGAUGAAGGCCUUAGGGUUGUAAAGCUCUUCUACCAGGGAUGAUAAUGACAGUACCUGGAGAAUAAGCUCCGGCUAACUCCGUGCCAGCAGCCGCGGUAAUACGGAGGGAGCUAGCGUUGUUCGGAAUUACUGGGCGUAAAGCGUACGUAGGCGGUUAUUCAAGUCAGAGGUGAAAGCCCGGGGCUCAACCCCGGAACGGCCUUUGAAACUAGGUAGCUAGAGUCUUGGAGAGGUUAGUGGAAUUCCGAGUGUAGAGGUGAAAUUCGUAGA
Molecule: ribosomal RNA, 557 nt
Filed under: uncultured Novosphingobium sp.
Lineage: Bacteria; Pseudomonadati; Pseudomonadota; Alphaproteobacteria; Sphingomonadales; Sphingomonadaceae
Description: bacterial SSU rRNA
Rfam family: Bacterial small subunit ribosomal RNA
Source: RNAcentral